UCCUCAUUAGUCUAACGGCUAUGAUACCUCGUUUUCAUUGCUUCUUCCCGAUGCACCGAGGCGGCCCGGGUUCGACUCCCGGAUGGGGAA
This 90-nucleotide transfer RNA is filed under the name Rhodotorula mucilaginosa. RNAcentral's name for it is "tRNA-Glu". It matches the Rfam family "tRNA". From Rfam's summary of the family: Transfer RNA (tRNA) molecules are approximately 80 nucleotides in length. Their secondary structure includes four short double-helical elements and three loops (D, anti-codon, and T loops). Lineage: Eukaryota; Fungi; Basidiomycota; Microbotryomycetes; Sporidiobolales; Sporidiobolaceae. RNAcentral also lists the same sequence under 1 other name. The record is from RNAcentral.